UUAGAGACAGAAUUAAAACUGGACCCUUUUAGAGUCUCCCAGUGAUCUACACAAGUACCGCCUGCUGUAGCCUUCUGGGUCCUAAAUCACGUCAGUUCAUGUCUCGUCUCCGGUUCCGAGACGUUACAGGCUUUAGCCCCGGAAUGGCAUUAUGUGACAUCAGAGUUCAGAUCGUUCCUGCAGAAGCUUUGUCUGUGAUAAUCAAGGUUUCAUUCUCACCAACUUGAUAAGCUGUAUCUGAGCUGUACCACUUCAGACUUCAAGCGGGGGCUCAGUGAAUUCUCCUCUGUAACAAGAACAAUAAAAAUCAUUCCAUACAGAAACCUAGCAUGCCAGUGAGAAGCUAGGCUAUAAACUACUAUUACUGCUAUGAAUUUUUGUAUGCUGCUUUUCAACAAAAGUUCCCAAAGCUAUUUCCGUAGCAAGAAUUAAAGAAAGGGCUUCCUGUCCCCAAAGGGCUCACAAUCUAAAAAAGAAACAUAAGACACCAGCAACAAUCACCGGAGGGAUGUUUUUCUGGAGUUGGAUAGGGCCAGUUGCUCUUCUGCUAGAUAAGGAAAAUCACCACUUUAAAAGGUGCCUCUUUGCUUAGUUAGAAGGGGAUCAGCAUCAAGUUUUCUACAUGGAAGGAUUUCCACAUAGGAUUUCAAGUUUUCUACAUGGAACUGGAAAAGGUGCAACCAAGAUGAUCAGGAGCCUGGAGCACCUUCCUUAUAAGGCAAGGCUACAGCAUCUGGGACUUUUUAGUUUGGAAAAGAGGUGACUACAGGAAGACAUGAUAAAAGUGUAUAAAAUAAUUCAUGGAGUAGAGAGAGCAGACAGAAAUACAUUUUUAUCCCUCUCUUACAACACUGAAACCAGGAAUCAUCCUAUGAAACAGGAGGUCAGGAAAUUUAGGACCAACAAAAAGUUCUUUUUCACACGGUGCAUAAUUAAUCUAUGGAAUUCUCUGCCAUGGGAUGUGGUGAUGGCCACUAGCUUGGAUUGUCAUGGGCAUGCUGUCAGACUCCAAGGAUGAGAAGGAGGCAGGCAGUGUGACAGUGAAGGAGGGAGUGCAGCUACCUCAAAGGCAAGUAGUUGCAGAGGCAAGCGGGACCAACUCACAGGAUGUUGAAAAAGAAACAGAGCCUAGUACGACAAUUCCUGUGGAGGAGGCGCAGCCGAUCUCAGCUGUAGAGAGGUGUCAGUCAAAGAGACAGGAGGAGAUAAGGAGACACACGUGCAGAAUGGCUCAACUAACAAGGAGACCCAUGAAUGAGUGCACAUGGCUUCAGCCUAUUUAAGUUGGCUUCGCCGCAGCCACAUUGCUGGUAGCAACGUGGUGCUUUGGUGAGCUACCCAGCUGUGUUCCUGCUUGUUUUGGACUGUGCUUUGACUCCAGACCGUUUGGACUCUGUUUUUGGAAUUCGACUUGGACUUGGUUUGACUGACAGGAUAUUGUAACGACUCAGACUGGCUGUGGUUUGGACAUUGCUUACUGUUUGGCUCUGACAUUCUCCUUUUGACCCUUUGCUUGCUGCAUGCUCCGUCUGCUGAUAUAUAGCUCUUGAUUAGCCUGACAGGUUUAUGACAUGGAUGGCUUUCAAAUGGCUUAGACAAAUGAGGACAGGUCUAUCAAUGGCUGAUAGUUUGGUGACUAUAGGUGGCCUCCAUCCUCCGAGGCAAGAUGCCUCUAAAUACCGGUUACAGAGGCACACCAGCAAGAGGGAGGAUAAAGGAGUGAUGAAAGAAACCAGUUUUGCAUUGCAAACACAGCCAAUGGAAAAUACUCAGCAACCAGCACGGGAGGUCCUGCUGGCUCCUGGUGGCUGGGUAGAAGAGGUGAGUGGGUUUACCCACGACCAGAAAGUUUUAUUUUAUUUAUUGUUAAAUUUAUAUACCGCCUUUCAUUAAAACAGUCCCAAGGCAGUUUACAGCAAAAGGUGGUUUACAGCUCUCCUCUCCUCCGUAGUUAGAAGCAGGGUAGGAAUGUUGGGUUAUCUUGCUUUGAGCAACUGGGGGUUUGGAGGGAUAUUUGUUAAUUCACAUGAUCAUGAAAACCAGGGUCGAUUGCCUCCUAACCUGAUUUUAGUUAUUCUAUCAUGUUCAUAGUGACACUGAACCUAGAAGGAGCUCAGAGCUAUUAUGACUAAUAACCAUUGAUAGACUUGUCUCCAUGAAAAUGAAUUUGCCUUAUGAACUGCCCCAUUGGGUAAGUUGCUAUCAGAACUGUAGUUUAUCUAACCCAGAUCUACCUGCUGUAGUAGGAUCUUCCAGAUUAGUGCAUAUCCACAAACAGAAAGCAGGAUCAAUAAAUGUUCACAAUACAAGAAAUGGCUACAGUGUAUUUAGUGAAACAUUAUUAGUAAAACAAAUCCAGUUGUGAAUAAGUGGUUUAGGGAGUAGGAGUGAUUUUUGUCUAUUUCCUCUUUUGUUUGAAGCCAACUGUGACUCCUGAAAAUAUGUCCCUAAGGAUUAUACAGCCCAGUAGGCUUCAGAGGGAAGGGGAGAUCAGCUAAAAUCAUCCUCCCUUGCAUGACAGCACAGCAUUAGUCUGGAAGAAACACUGUUGCACCAGUCUACAUGUCAGCAAGCAUGUUGUACUGCUUUAUCGCUGUAAGCCACCUUGGGUCAUUUUUUGGAAAAGGUGGGUAAAAACGUUUUUUAAAUAAAUGAAUUCAGACAUUCUUUGACUUAUGUUAUAUGGAUUGCUGAACCCAUACAUCUAAAUUGAUUCUUGAUUAAGAUCUCCCAAACUGUAUCAUAACCACCAAACCAUGAAAACCCUAUAAUUUUAUGGAUUUUCUUUUAGCAAUCUUUAGAUUUUGAGGCCUUAGCCAUAUAUAGCUCAAAUAUUAUUUCACCUGAUAUAACAAAGUAAACAAAUAAAUAUGUUUAUUUGAAAUGUAUAUUAUAUCAACAUUAUUAUAUAUAAUUAUUAUUUAUAAACAUUAUUUGCACCUUAUAUAUUUUUCACUUCAUAUCCCCUAGUGGCUUACUCCUGUUUGGGCUAACCUCCACAAAAUAUUGUUUUGUGCUGGUUUUGUAUGGAAAACAUAUCCAUACAAAUAUUUAGGAUUGGACUUCACUACUUAUGAAAUAUUUAACACAAGAUCUUUGUGAGAUAACUAGUGUGAAUUUUAUCCCCCAUAUAAAGACAUUUUUUAAAACCCAUACACAAAAAGCAGUAUAGAAAAAUGUCAAUUUCAGAAGCAUAGUCCCAAAUAUCUUAAGAGAAGGCUACAAUUAUAAUAACAUCUUCUGAACAUCCAUUUACCUAUUUCUGUAGGUAAACUUACGUGUUCCAUUACAAUCCUGUGUUAGCUGAACUCUUAGAUUUGGCCAUGCUUCUAGCUGGGAAGGGUGGCUUCUAAUGCUGGUUUGGACCACAAGGGUUUUGCCAAGACAUAGUUUGCAGAUCCCCUAGUAUUUUCUGGUCUUUCAGAGAGAGUGCUUUAUGGCAGAUCUUAAGUAAGAUUAUCCAAAUUGUUAGAAUGUCCCCCUGCCCACUUAAAUAAAUGAACCUAUAGUAUAUUUUGGGGAAACCUAACUGGAGACUUAUAACAAAUUGUAGUCAAGUUAUGUUUAACAGAAGUAGCACAAUGGAGAUGAACUAAAGAGGAAGAGCAACAAUUGUGUAGUUUGAAAACAAACUGCAAAGACCUUGUAAUGUUCUUUUUUUGGUUGUUUAGAUAAAGGACUUAGAUAGUACAAAGAGUUCCUUUAGUAUACUGUUUUCCAAUACUGUAAAAUAGGAGAAAAAGGAUUAAAGCACGGGGAAUUAUGGAAGAAUCAUAUAUGAUGAGACGAGUUUGAGGAGCAUGCCAGGGAUAAACAGAUAUCAUCAUGGAAAGCCCCAAAGCCCAAAACACUCUUUAUAACAGGAUUAGGCAAGAAGAGUGCAAUUUUUGUCACACAGAAAGGAAAGGAAAACUCCAGGGUGCAUGCCCUGGACUUCUGAAAUUUGAAGUAAGUUAAUAGGGAUUUAGUUUGUGUGGUAGGGGAUAGACUGCAGAGAAGUCAGUAUGAUAUUUGUGAUAGCUUACAGGUGUGCCACAAAUAGAAAAUUCUAAGAACAACUCAGGUAUAGUCUUUAAAAUACAGAUAUAAUUUGAAAAGUAGUUGCCUGGUCUUUUCAAACCAUUUUUGAAGCUUUGUUGUUACAGUGUGUAAAAAAAAAAAAAAAAAAAGAUGAGAGGAAGCCACAUUGUGAAACGGGAGGACACUGAAGAGAACUGAACGUUUCUGAGGUACAAAUGUGUGAAUAUUGACUACCAUUUACCAAAUGGUAACUUAACACUGUGUACAUAUAACCACCAUUUGAUAAACAAAUAAUCUGUAUCAUCCUGCAAUGUGCUUGCAAUAAUGUUGUUACUCCCCUCCUUCUCCAGAGAACUGAUCAUAUUCAGAAGUGUAGUAACUUUCUCUUCACUACUUGGCACGAUUAUACAUAAAACUAUAUU
Hemicordylus capensis (graceful crag lizard) is the source of this 4442-nucleotide long non-coding RNA. RefSeq lists it as uncharacterized. The record is from RefSeq and is a predicted model, not a curated record. The transcript has 4 exons. NCBI's taxonomy places the organism in Eukaryota, Metazoa, Chordata, Lepidosauria, Squamata, Cordylidae.